Molecule: small nucleolar RNA, 93 nt
Filed under: Fibroporia radiculosa
Lineage: Eukaryota; Fungi; Basidiomycota; Agaricomycetes; Polyporales; Fibroporiaceae
Source: RNAcentral
GUCCUAUGAUGAACCAUUUAUUCAGUUCUGCUUCCGAGUAGAGAGCAAUCUCGUGUGGAAACCUUUACAUACCAAAACUCUCAAUUCUGACCU